UACGUAGGGGGCUAGCGUUGUCCGGAAUCAUUGGGCGUAAAGAGCGUGUAGGCGGUCCGGUAAGUCCGCUGUGAAAGUCGGGGGCUCAACCCUCGAAUGCCGGUGGAUACUGUCGGGCUAGAGUGCGGAAGAGGCGAGUGGAAUUCCCGGUGUAGCGGUGAAAUGCGCAGAUAUCGGGAGGAACACCAAUGGCGAAGGCAGCUUGCUGGGACGGUACUGACGCUGAGGCGCGAAAGCGUGGGGAGCAAACAGG
This 253-nucleotide ribosomal RNA is filed under the name uncultured bacterium. Its description in RNAcentral is "partial 16S ribosomal RNA". It matches the Rfam family "Bacterial small subunit ribosomal RNA", at positions 524 to 776 of the family's 1533-position model. The record is from RNAcentral.